This is a long non-coding RNA of Panthera uncia (snow leopard), 5347 nucleotides long. RefSeq lists it as uncharacterized. The transcript has 2 exons. Lineage: Eukaryota; Metazoa; Chordata; Mammalia; Carnivora; Felidae. The record is from RefSeq and is a predicted model, not a curated record.
CACUGUACUUUCUGUCUCUGUGAAUUUGACUACUCUAGGAACCUCACGUUGAGUGGAAUCUGUGAUAUUCAGUAUUUGUCUUAGCGCCCGGCGUAUUUACUUAGCAAAAUGUCUCCGAGAGGCAACCAUGUUGUUGCGUGGGUCAGAAUUUCCUUCCUUAUUAAGGCUGAGUAAUAAUUCCAGUGUAUGUGUGUGACACAUUUCAUUUAUCCUUUCAUCUCUCGAUGGAGACUUGGGUUGCUUCUGCCUUUGGCUCUUGUGAAUAAUCCUGCUGUAAAUAAAGCAGAGCAUCUCUUCGAGGCCCUGCCUUCAGUUGUUGGGGGCAUUUAUCCACAAAUGGAAUUGCCGGGUCAUAUGGGUAGUUCUGCUUUUAAUUUUUUGAGGCACUGCUGUGCUCUUUUCCGGAGCAUGGCAUCAUUUCGUAUUCCCGCCAGCAGUGGAUAAGUAUUCUGAUUUCUCCACAUCCUCGCCGACCCUUGAUAUUUUCUGGUUUCUGGAGAGUGGCCAUCAUAAUCGGGGUGAGGUGAUAGCUCAUGGUGGUUUUGAUUUGAAUUUUCCUGUUAGGCUGUGAUGUUGGGAGCAUCUUUUCAAGUGCUUGUUGGCCAUUUGUACAUCUUCUUUGGAGAAAUGUCUGUUCAAGUCCUGUGCCCAUUUUUUAAUCAGUUUGGUUUUGUUGGUGGUGGUGGUGGUGUUGGAUUCUGAGCACAUAAUAUUUUUAAACUCAGAAAGGAAUGUUAUAAAGAAAGGGGGAGAGAGCAUCCAGAAGGCCAGUCAAGAGAGUGUAGCGGUUAAAAGCUUGGGCUCUGAAAUUAGAACGUUCAGUCACCAUAAUUAUUGAGUGCCUUCUAUAUAAGUCAGGAUCGGCUAACUAACACACGACCCUAAAAGCUCAGUGACCUAAUGCAAUAAAAGUCUUGCUCGCUUACCUCAAGUUCAAUGGGAUCUGAGAUGGAAAAAGGGUGGAAGCUAGGGAGGGUCAGUAGGUCAUCCAGGGACUCUGUGUCAUGUAGUCAUUUAGGGACCUGGGCUGCAUCCAUCCUGUGGCACUGACGUCCACAACAUAUGCCUCCAAGGUCACCUUGGGAGGGGAUAAAAGGGAAAAUUACAUAAGGGUAACUUUUUAUGGACCAGUCUUUGCCUGUCUUACAUCAGUCUAAUCUUGUAAUGCCGCCCCACCCGCUACAAAGGAGACUGGGAAACAUCCUUUUCCUGUGUGCCCAAGAGGAAGGGAAAUUGCACUGUCUCUGCAACAGUACGUCGCUUUGGUCACCAGACCAUCUCAUUCUUCUUCCCACACACAGAAAUACUCAUCCCCUUCUCUAGGGAGACAACCCAAAGUCGCCUCCAGGAUCUCCAGGUCACGUACGUUCUUUUCCCUUGAGACCACAUGAUCCGGUGAUCAGUGCACUUAGGGGGACAAGUUGUCUGCCCCACACCCCACAGCCGACACGCAGUCACGAAGUAGAAAUAACGAAACUCCCAUUGAGAAAAGGGAGAGUGCUGUAGCCCCUGGUCCAGGGAAGUGAUAGACUCCUUCCUGUGAGACAGGCUUUGUGAGGGUUCCCUGCUCUGGGAAGGGCGAAGUUCCCGGAUUAGGUUCUGGUCUGACCUCUGAAGGGCAGGCCCUGCCCAUUUUCCUCCAUGAUCUCAUCCUCACCUCACAGGAGUCUUUCCUUUCUCCUGAUCCCCCCGGACUCUACCUGAAGCGUUCUUUGGGGAGGAAGUCCUUCUCCUUGACAACAUCCAGCUCUUGGAGGUGUUCUUCUUGCUUAUGUGUCUGCCAGAGUCAAGGACGUUUUUAAGGGUGACUUCAUGACUUCUCAGGCACUAAUUCUCUCAGAAGGUCAUGGGCUUGGUGAGGUGGGGAGAACUCUGCAAAGGGCAGGCCUACUGGAAACCCGCACAGAGAUGUGGACUGACUGGCUGGACACAGGAGUCUGGCCCGUGGGGAGUAGUCCGGGCUGGAGAGGGACACUGGGGAGCCAUCACCAUAUUGCUGGCAUUUAUCAGCAGGCUGGUGCGCGUAGACAGGCCAGAGAGGAGGUCCAAAGACCGAGCCCUGGCUCACUCCAGUGGCCAGAGAGGUGAGGAGGCGCCCACCAACAGAGGAAGGGAAGGACCUGGGAGUAGGUGAAAAUCCAGAAGAGUGUGGUGUCUGGGAAGACAAGUGACGCACGUGUCUCAAGGCAGGGGUGCCGACAGGUCGCUAAGGUGAGGACUGAGGCUUGACAACGGAGGAGGCGACUGGUGACUCUGGCGAGGGCGGUUUCCACGGAGCAGCAGAGUAAGAGGCUGAGUGGCGUGGCUCCAGCCAACAAGGGGAGGGGAAAAGCGAGUGACCGUGACUGUGAACAGAAGAGUCUUGCUGCACAGUCUCCAAAUUAACAACCACCUCCAACUGGAAAUCACACUUCCGCGUGGGAGCAGAAAAGGCAGCUGUGCAGACGGACCAGGGCUUGGAAGUAAGUAACCCCACGGAGGCAGCAGGCUUUAGCCGGAAAGAACCUGCUCAGGAGGCCUGAAGAGGUUUGCACAGAUGCCCCUGGGGAAUUCGCAGGACCUUGGCUUAGCUUGCUGGCCAGACAUGUCUCAUUCUCUGGGUCCCCAGGAGUCCCUGGCUUUUUCUGUCUUUUCCUGUCUUUUCAUCUGACGCUAAAGAAACCCAGCCAUUGUUUCACACUGGAAAGGGAACAAUGCAUUUGCCUUCUCCUUCUCUCCGCCUGGCCCCCCGUUUACUGGAGACGAUGAAGACUCUAAACAGUAAUCACGAUAAAAGCAGCCCUUAACCUUACUAAGGAUAGCAAGAAUAAGGAAGCAGCUAUCUUAGUCAUUAGGGCAUUAAAAUGUACUCAGGGUGGAUAUGCUGAGAAACCAGGGCUCCUGUGUGUUUUGAUGACAAUGCUGAGGCCUAAUUUCUAGGCAAUUGCUAGAUCACCAGAUCCCUAUCACCCACAUAGAAUAUUAUCCUUUCCUAGACCAGUAGGGCCCAUGCUAUCUGCUCAAGUUAGGCCCUUUUCAUAGUAAGAGUCUUAAGUUACUUAAAAAAAAAAAAAAGUUCACUUUCAGGAUACCCGUGACAGGUGACGACUGGCAUGGGACACUAUCAGGGGUUGGGGGCUCUGCACGCUGGCCAGCAGGACCCUAGGCCCCGAGCGUCUCUGCUUCUCCCUAGACGCCCUCCCCUGUGUGUUCCCCCGCCCUCCACUGGCUUCCUCUACCUACUCACGGAUCCUGUUCUCUCCAGACCUCUCCAGAUCUCUGAGUCCCCUUCCAUCACCGACUGCCUCUUAGCUCUGAUUUCUGAGAGAGGAGUGGACUGGCCCUUGAAUUACUUUGCUAAGGCUGUCCUCAGAAUCGGGCCACAUCUGUUCUGAUCAGCUAUGGAGAGUGUGUCUUAGGCCGCACGACAUUGCCUACAAGUGGGGACAGCUUGCUUCUCCUAGAAAGGGCAAGCAUCUAUCUAAGAGACCCCAUAACAUGCUGUCCAGUACAUAGUUUCAAAUACACUGGCAUCUCAUCCAAAGCCACUGCCAAUUACUGUCCCAGAGUAGGGCAGGGCCGUUUCAGAAACUGCUUGCUCAUCACAGAGUCACUUUCAUCCCUGGUUAUGUUGGUGUCCCUUCCAGAUAUUUCUCUCCGUUCGGCAGUCCAUUUACUAAAUGGUUCAUGUAAGCACAGCCACUGUAGUUUCCAUACGACACUGAAGUAGAAAGGACGAAUUGCAUGGGCACAAAGAGCCACCUUCUCACUUACCUCCUGGACCCAGAAACUCCAGCGAUGGCAGGGGUGGCGACAUCAUCGUGACUUGUCCGCAGUCUGACGUGAGUCUGCAGAUGCCAUCAUAGCCUCACGGUGUUGGAACUCCACUAUUAGAUUAACCACCUGUGGGCAGCGGGAGAAUUUGGGGUCCCCACGUGGCCUCACUCUUUUGCCCCGCAGUGACUUUUGGUUACUCGAUGUGACUUCUGGAGACUCUGCCUGCUGGAAGAUUUCUUCCACACUGUGGCCGGUGCCUACACCACAGGAAGAGCCACCUGGCUUUCCAGCUCUGUUCCGAGGUCUCCGGAUUAACUGAGGGACCAAGAAUCCUUGCAACACUCCUUUGAGGGAGACACGCCCCUUUUUAUUAGGUCUGGGAUUUUUAUGAUGCUCUAGCCCCUGCAGAACCUGUGGGAGCUGCCCCUCAGUUUCUUGCUCUGGGGUAUUUGGGCUUAUAGAUGGAUGAUUUUACAGCUCCAUGUAUUUGGAUCACCACGGCCAGCUCUCAGUAGCUACAACUGGGCCUAAAAGACCACAGCCCCACAGCCCUCUUUGCUUCCUAAUGACCCGAGCUGGCCUCCCCACGCUAGUGGCCGGCAUGGAGUGCGAGGGCACGAGAGCCUAGCAUUUGAGUGCUUUUCCUCCUGGAUCUGAUUUUGACCUUAUUGCAUGAUGGCAGGUGGAGAGCUUUGACACACAAGUUGUGGGUGGGGCAGGCACAGAGAAACACCCACUGCAGGCUAUCAUGAUGUUGUAUGAAGUUCAACGACAUUUAAAAAUAAACCCAGUCACUUUGGCAGGUGGUCAGUGGGUUGGCAUUUCCACACACAGCGUCACUCACCCCACGGAGGGCCCCAGGUGGCCCACACUCGGCUUCCCCGAUUGGGAUCACAUGUGAGCCUCCAAAUAAUCCUGGUUUUAGGAUUCCCCGUCUUAUAACGGGGGAAAGUGAGGCAGAGAACAUUUCAGUGAUUUGUUCAGGGUGACAGGGCAAGAGUAAGGACCUUAAUUUCUUCACUUUUAGCCCUAUUUCUAGGCCUUUCGUUUGAUGUGAGAAAGUCUAUAUAAUUUUAGCAAGGAGGUGUGUCCACGAGGGGUGUUUCUCAAGAAAGGAAGGGCAGCCUCACUAAAUGCUUAAGAAGGUCAACGUCCUCUAUGCCUCCAGGCUUCCUCGUUGCCUGUCUCGGUGCCCUUGUUAUCUCUGUUAGAAAUUCACUUUGCUUUCUGCGGUGCUCAUUACACAUUGUUCUGCUGGGGCAGAACGAAUAAUUAACUCGCGGGCUUGGCCAUCCUUUUGUCCUGAGCACUUAGCGUGCUCCCUCUUUCUCCUCUGGAGAUCAAAACCUUCAUCCCUUUUUCUGGUUUCCUUUGAUGCAAGCCUUUAUGGCUGGGAGGAUGUGCUUGUCAGUUGCUGUUCUAAGGACUCACGAAGGUCAUCAUUUCGGUCCCUGCUUCUGUGAGAAGGAUGAAUUUGGAGGAAGGCAAGCCACCAGCCCUCCCCUUCCUCCACUUCGUUUGUUUGUGUGUUUACAUCAUCUCUUUUCAGCAGUCAUUGUCCUGUGUAUGAAAAUACGAACCCUUAUUUUGA